CCAAAAAAAAAAAAAAGAGAAAGAAAUAAAAAAGGAGAAAUUUCAACUGACAGCAGAAUUACAAAAUACCAUAAGAGAAUACUAGAACAAUUAUAUGCCAACAAAUUUGACAACCUAGAAGAAAUGGACAACUUUCUAGAAACAUACAGCCCACCAAAAUUG
Aethalodelphis obliquidens (Pacific white-sided dolphin) is the source of this 162-nucleotide long non-coding RNA. RefSeq lists it as uncharacterized. Lineage: Eukaryota; Metazoa; Chordata; Mammalia; Artiodactyla; Delphinidae. The record is from RefSeq and is a predicted model, not a curated record. The transcript is spliced from 3 exons.